This 253-nucleotide ribosomal RNA is filed under the name uncultured bacterium. RNAcentral describes it as "partial 16S ribosomal RNA". It matches the Rfam family "Bacterial small subunit ribosomal RNA", at positions 524 to 776 of the family's 1533-position model. The record is from RNAcentral.
UACGUAGGUGGCAAGCGUUGUUCGGAAUUAUUGGGCGUAAAGGGCGCGUAGGCGGCAUGUUAAGUCGGCUGUGAAAGCCUGGGGCUCAACCCCAGAGGGUCGGCCGAUACUGGCAAGCUAGAGUACGGAAGAGGUAGCUGGAAUUCCCGGUGUAGCGGUGAAAUGCGUAGAUAUUGGGAGGAACACCUGAGGCGAAGGCGGGCUACUGGGCCGAUACUGACGCUGAUGCGCGAAAGCCAGGGGAGCGAACGGG